GGCGGCGAGGAGCGCCGGCGAGCGCAGCCCGGGACCGAGCGGGGCGGCGCGGCUGGCGGGGCCGGCGGCGGCCGGAGUGAGAGCGCGACGCGACGCGACCGCGGCUUCCCGAGCUCCGCCUGGCCGCCCAGCGCCGCAGCCCGCCCGAGGCCUGGAGGGGUCCGGGCCGCCGUCCAUGGUCGCGGCGUCCUGAGGCGGGGGACGCGCCCGGCGCCCCCAGCCCUCCGCCGCCUCCUCCUGCCGGGCGGGCGGCCUCCUCUGGCGCCUCCCCGCGCCCGCCCGCCCGCUCGCCCGCCGCCUCCCUCCCUCCUUCCCUGCGGCUCGGCCGGCUUUCGGGAGCCCGGGGGCGGCCUGUGGCGCGCCGAGCCCGCGCCGGACUGCGCCUCUUUGGACCUUGAGGGGAAACAUGCGUUUGGCUUGGAUCGUUUUAAAUUCUUAGUUUGGGAUCCCCGCCCGCCUGCCUCUUCCGCCCGGCGGGUUUUCUUUUCUUUUUUCUUUUUUUUUUCCCCUUUUUUCCCUCCCGAUCUCCUUUUUGACUCCCUCCCCCUUUAUGCUCGCCCAACCCUCCCCCCGCUGCUGAGAAGUGGGGGAGGGUCUCGGCCUCCAGGUUCCCGCCCUACCGGGGCCCGGGCGAGCAUGGGGGGCAAGCAGAGCACGGCGGCCCGCUCACGGGGCCCCUUCCCGGGGGUCUCCACUGAUGACAGCGCCGUGCCCCCGCCGGGAGGGGCGCCCCACUUUGGGCACUACCGGGCCGGCGGCGGGGCCAUGGGGCUGCGCAGCCGCUCGGUCAGCUCGGUGGCGGGCAUGGGCAUGGACCCCAGCACGGCCGGGGGGGUGUCCUUUGGCCUCUACACCCCCGCCUCCCGGGGGACCGGCGACUCCGAGAGGGCGCCCGGCGGCGGAGGGUCCGCGUCCGACUCCACCUAUGCCCAUGGCAAUGGUUACCAGGAGACGGGCGGCGGUCACCAUAGAGACGGGAUGCUGUACCUGGGCUCCCGAGCCUCGCUGGCGGAUGCUCUACCUCUGCACAUCGCACCCAGGUGGUUCAGCUCGCACAGUGGUUUCAAGUGCCCCAUUUGCUCCAAGUCUGUGGCUUCUGAUGAGAUGGAAAUGCACUUUAUAAUGUGUCUGAGCAAACCUCGCCUCUCCUACAACGAUGACGUGCUGACUAAAGAUGCGGGUGAGUGUGUGAUCUGCCUGGAGGAGCUGCUUCAGGGGGACACGAUAGCCAGGCUGCCCUGCCUGUGCAUUUAUCACAAAAGCUGUUGCCACCCUCCUGGGCUCCACACAGUUGCAUAGACUCGUGGUUUGAAGUGAACAGAUCUUGUCCAGAACACCCUGCGGACUGACCCUGCUGGGCUCACUUGCUGACUCCUCUCAAAGAUUGCUGUCUGCUGCCCAGCUAGAACCCACUCAGUGACAGAAACGAACAGAGCCAGGUUCUCGCCGUGCGCGUUCUGAUGGCGCUGGACCAUCCUGUGCCCGGCGCCCCCGUCGGCCCUCUCCAUCACCAACCGCUCUGCCUUGGGUUUUGUUUUUUUUUUUUUUUCCAUUUUUCUGGCUUGGUUGUGCACUUUUCUCCCCUUGGGACCCUGAUAUCUUGACCUCGUUGCCAAAAAACAACCCAUCAAGGACCUUCUUCCCCUCCAUUCUCGUUUCCUCCCCUCUUCCCUCCUGGUUCUGGUCAGUUCAGAGGAUUGAACAAUCACAAGUGUCCUGCAAAAAUGCCUGAACAUUUUUCUUAGACCCUUGUGGAUUUUUUUUCCCAGAAAACUUAAACAAAGACUUAUUAAAGGAAUAUGUACAGCAACCCCUGUUUUCAGGCACUCUGUUUGAGAACAUUUUAGCCAUUGAUGUUCACACAUGGCAUCAGCCCAUGCAAGAUAGGUUUCUGUAUUUAUAUAUUAAAAUACAAAAAAAAACCUUAUAAAAUGUUUAAAAAAAUGUUCAAAGCUGGGGGAAAAAGCUUUCUUCAUUAGUCAAGGUGUUUUGAUAUGGUAUUAAAAUAAUGUCUAAUAAAAGAUGCACUGUGUGACUUUA
This is a non-coding RNA of Equus caballus (horse), 2040 nucleotides long. The record is from RefSeq and is a predicted model, not a curated record. Lineage: Eukaryota; Metazoa; Chordata; Mammalia; Perissodactyla; Equidae.